UAAUCUCUUUCUAUUCCAUCAGCCGCUCUCUCACAUCUCAGCUCUCACCCCACGAUUGAAAAAACAUCCAGAUCUGUGAGACAAGAUCUGAAAAUCAAAGAUCCAAUAAUCCAAAAAUCGAAGAUCCAAGAUUGUUCAUAUGAUUUUUGUUCAAAGAUUUGUUCACACGAUUUCCAUUCACCCUUUGGGGUUUUUGUGGUUUCAUAUGUGCUUUGAAAGUUGGAAGGAUGGAUUGGAAUCUGAUGCAUAGAUUAGGAAGAUUAUGUUUUUAUUUCGACUUUUAAGACAAUGUUUUGCUUUAUGUUGGAUAUGUUAUGUGAUUUAGAACAAUGGAUUGUGUUGGUUUUUUUUUUUUUGAACAUCGGAUCUUUAAUCUUUUAUUUGCUGUUUGGUUUGUU
This 398-nucleotide long non-coding RNA is filed under the name Helianthus annuus (common sunflower). RNAcentral describes it as "hypothetical non coding rna". The record is from RNAcentral. Lineage: Eukaryota; Viridiplantae; Streptophyta; Magnoliopsida; Asterales; Asteraceae.